Molecule: ribosomal RNA, 438 nt
Filed under: Ensifer sp. CL4.39
Lineage: Bacteria; Pseudomonadati; Pseudomonadota; Alphaproteobacteria; Hyphomicrobiales; Rhizobiaceae
Description: bacterial SSU rRNA
Rfam family: Bacterial small subunit ribosomal RNA
Source: RNAcentral
CCCUGGCUCAGAACGAACGCUGGCGGCAGGCUUAACACAUGCAAGUCGAGCGCCCCGCAAGGGGAGCGGCAGACGGGUGAGUAACGCGUGGGAAUCUACCCUUUUCUACGGAAUAACGCAGGGAAACUUGUGCUAAUACCGUAUGAGCCCUUCGGGGGAAAGAUUUAUCGGGAAAGGAUGAGCCCGCGUUGGAUUAGCUAGUUGGUGGGGUAAAGGCCUACCAAGGCGACGAUCCAUAGCUGGUCUGAGAGGAUGAUCAGCCACAUUGGGACUGAGACACGGCCCAAACUCCUACGGGAGGCAGCAGUGGGGAAUAUUGGACAAUGGGCGCAAGCCUGAUCCAGCCAUGCCGCGUGAGUGAUGAAGGCCCUAGGGUUGUAAAGCUCUUUCACCGGUGAAGAUAAUGACGGUAACCCGGAGAAGAAGCCCCGGCUAACU